AGCAUGGCAGAGCUGUCUGAGGCACUGGAUUAAGGCUCCAGUCUCUUCGGGGAGAAGGGGCACUGGUUCAAAUCCUACUACUGCC
Molecule: transfer RNA, 85 nt
Filed under: Cervus elaphus hippelaphus
Lineage: Eukaryota; Metazoa; Chordata; Mammalia; Artiodactyla; Cervidae
Description: tRNA-Leu
Source: RNAcentral